Molecule: non-coding RNA, 51 nt
Organism: Schistosoma mansoni
Lineage: Eukaryota; Metazoa; Platyhelminthes; Trematoda; Strigeidida; Schistosomatidae
Source: Rfam
AUCCAUCUGACGAGUCCCAAAUAAGACAACGAAACGCGCGUCCAACUGGAU